AUAAUUUUAGUCCUAAUUGUUUUUUAAAAUUACACAUAUAUAUAUAUAUAUAUAUAUUUAUAUGUGGAUAUACGCUUCCAACACGUACCCGCUUCUUAAUAUUUUAAAAAAUCUCGCUUCUGCGCUUCCUUACGCUUCCGCUUCCACGUACCCGCUUCCGUUUUCAUGUAACAUAGGGCAAAACCAAUGGUGGUGUUAUUCCCUGAAACACAAAACAUAAAGUGAAUAAGUAUUAUACCAUUAUUUUAUAUGUCCUUAUAAAUGUAUAUAUAUAUAUAUACCUCAAGAAUAUUACUACUUUCAGAAAUAGACAAAUCUUGUUUACUAGAAACUUCAUCUCGGGGUUCUAUUAUAUUUGGUACUAUCAGUGGUGACUUUGUGUUUCUAUCUGCAACAUAAAAACAUGAAGCUAAUAAGAUUGUACAAUUAUUUUAUAAGUCUUUAUAAAUGUAAACAUUGUAAUAAAAUCUCAGACACGAAAUGAACAAGUUUUGACUAAUAUGUUAUAAGUCCUUGAAAGUGUUAAAUUGUAAUAAACACCUCAAAAUUUUGCUACUUCCAGCAAUGAGGAAGUCUUGAUUACUAAAACGUUGUUUCGUGUAUGUAUCAUGUUUGACAUAAUUAAUUGUGAUCUAUGCCUUUCCAUUUGCAACAUAAAAACAUGAACUCAAUUGUCUCUAUACAAUAAUUUUUAAAGUCGUUAUGAAAAUGUAAAAGGAGUCCUAAAUAUCUCUACGGCAUUACUAUAGACAACCUUGUUUGGCACAAUCAAAGAGAGUGUGUACAUAUAUUUUUGCAAUAUAAAAACACGAAACUAGUUAUUGUGUCAAAGUAGAUAACAAAGCCUUAUAAAUAAAACAUGACCAAAGAGUUAAUAACCUCAUAAAUUGUUACAAAAAGCUUAAGAAGUCCUUCACUUUCUUUAUGUUUGCUCACAAAGGAGGCCACUUGGAGAUCAUUCCUAAUAAAAACUGGAAGAACCUCUUUUGUACCAAAGAACCUCUUUUGUGUAUUACUUAUAUACUCUUAUAAAACUGUAUCCAUUAAUAAGAGUUUAUAAUUAUUUAUAAGUAUUUAUAAUUUGGUUAAAAACAAAUAAUACUUUAUAGAAACUAAAGCAAAUAGAUUUUCAAAUUUGGUUUAUAAAUUUUGUUUACAAAAGUUCAUAAUCGGUAUAACAAAUAUAUCAUUUAUAAGAGUUUAUAAGUAAUCAUUAUAAGAGAUAUAUGUACCGUUUAUAAGAGUCUAAAUUCAUUUAUAAAAUUAUAAACUAUUUAUAACGUUUAUUAGUCAUUUAUAAGGGUUUAUAAAAUUUUAUAAUUUAAUUACAAGAGUCCACAAAUCCUUUUAUAAAGUUUUAUAAUGAUUCAUAUAUAAAUCAGUUACAAGAGUUCAUAAAUCAUCAUUUUAUAAGAGCUUGUAAUGUAAGAGUUUAUAAAAUGUAGAAGUGCUUAUAAAUAAUUUUGUAAGUGCUAAUAAAAUACUUUUGUGAAGGUUGUUAAAUAAUUUAUUAUCAGUUACAAAAGUGUAUAGAUCAUUUUAAAUAACUUCAUAAAUCUUUCUACAAGGCUUACCAUAAUUUACAAAAUACUUAAUAUUUAUAAAUUUAUUUAUAACGGCUUAUAAAUUAUUUAAAUAGUUAACAUUUGUAAUGAUUUAUAAACCAUCCAUCUUUGGCCUCCAUUGAUUUCCUAAUCUUCUUCACAUACAUGGGAUACGUCAAUAGGUGGUUCAGAGCAAAAUAUGAACUCAUAUAACACAUUUAACAUUGAAAGCUAGUGAUGAACAUAUGCAAGGCAAGAAGAAAUAUGUUUCCUUAGCUCAACAAACUCAUUGUUCACUCUCCACUGCUUUUUCAGUUAUUCUACACAAAACGAUACAUAAAAGACAUCUUAUAUAAUAAAGGGGAGUUGUCUCUCUCCUUAGGCUAUCCAGCUCAGCAAGGAGAGAGGGGCAUUCUGCUCCACGUGUUAGACUCUUCUUCACUCAUUUCACGUUUUUUUGUCUUCCUGAAUUUUGUUGAAUGGGCCAGGUUUGGUUUUCGAGAAAUUUAUUAGGCUUUAUACUGUUUUUGUGCAAACAGACCCAAUGAUAAUAAGGUUUCUUCUUUCUUGAUGAUAGAGACGGAGAACAGAAGCGCCAUGCCUUUCCAGAUCAUACCGUCUCCUAAGAAGCUUGUGUAACGGCUGCAAUUAUCAUUUAGUAAUCCUUUUCAACAUUUUAGAUUUUACUAUAUAUUAAUCCUCUCAUGUAUUGAUAAUUUCUCUUCAGUCUUCACGAUUCUCACAAAAACUUGCCUUCCCACAAUCCUAUUUGGAAACAACUUCCGCUUCCAUGUUUAGAAGGGCUUUGUCUUGAUGAUUUAUGUUUCGAAGCCAUGGUUAGAAAAUCUACAGAUUUAUCGGACAAGCUAUUGAAGGAUACGAUGGACAGGAGGAUGGAAUCAAAUUUUUUGGGUUAAGUGGAAAUCUGACCGAAGAUGCUUUAGAUUAAAUCAAUGAUAUUGUUUCUUCCAUGAAUGCCUCCGAUGAAUCCAAGUCAGGUCUUUUGUUCUGGAAGGAAAACAAAUUCGCCGCUCUUGCUUAAGAAUACGUAUCUUCUGAGCAAAUUGUCCAGAUCGCCAAAUGUUCGAUCCAAUGAAAAUAUUGGUGCAUAUGCUCUAAAACAAUUUGAUCUUGGGAGGAUAUUUUCCGCGACAAGUGUUCUAAUAAGCUCCAACGUGUAGACUUGAGAAUCUUCUUUCACAUGCGAAAAAUGUUGUCACGUACACGUUGCUGAUGUUGUCAGGUAACCCUUAACCAUUUCUACUUCUACCUCGCUUUAACCUGGUAAUAAGUGCUGUCAGCGAACUAACCAUGUCUCUGGAAUUUCAUACCUGAACUGCAUGCGUGUACCGUUUGGAGAUGGAACAGUCUCCACAUUGUUUGGAUUCGAUGCUGAGAUGAAACGGCUUACAAAUAUCUGGGCCGUAGAGUUUGGACUAAAACAUAUGAUUCAAACGUAGCGUCAAGGUGUGCCAGACCCCUGACUUACCAACAUCACAGCAACUUUGAGAGCGUGUCGUCCACCUAUGCAAAUAGUUUCGGUGAACCGGCUGAGAAAGGAUGCUGUCCCAUGCGGGUUUAGGUCAUGUUCCUUGCUUCCCAACAAUUGCCCAUAAGUUCCAGCCUCUGCCUUAUGUUCAGUCCAAACCUAACAAGUAUUCGCCACAGUUACCGUUACGGUUUGACCACUGACACAAUGUCAUUCAUCAUGUAUCAAUUUAUGAACUGGUGGACCAUAUUUCUGUAAGUUAAGGUGAGAAAGCUUCUUGCAGCAUGUUUUGAAAAGGCCAACAAUGUCUUAGACACUCUUCACUUUUAAAUCAGUCCAAAACUUAACCACCGUUUCGUUCAAACUCACUUACAACCAACCCCACAAAUGUAUCAACACUUCUUUGGAAACAAAACAAAAAGACCAAAACGCUAAAAUGUAUCAACACUUCUUUGGAAACAAAACAAAAAAAACCAAAACGCUAAAAUGUUCACGUUAUAUGGCUUUCCAAAACGGCAAUAAAAUUGGCAGGAAACUCAAUUUCCACUUACCCAUAAUACUCAAACGUAAUAAGAACAAUAAAGUCAAUUCAAUCCAGCAACGAGAGAGCAAUGCGAAUGACAUUUCGAAAUCAACCGUGUA
Molecule: long non-coding RNA, 3675 nt
Organism: Brassica rapa (field mustard)
Lineage: Eukaryota; Viridiplantae; Streptophyta; Magnoliopsida; Brassicales; Brassicaceae
Source: RefSeq, a predicted model, not a curated record